RNAcentral lists this ribosomal RNA (1235 nucleotides) under human gut metagenome. Its description in RNAcentral is "bacterial LSU rRNA". It matches the Rfam family "Bacterial large subunit ribosomal RNA", at positions 1326 to 2569 of the family's 2925-position model. The record is from RNAcentral.
AAACCCCCUCGCCGAAAGACUAAGGUUUCCUGAUCAACGCUAAUCGGAUCAGGGUCAGUCGGGUCCUAAGGCUCAGCCGAACGGCGAUGCCGAUGGCAGAAACGGUUAAUAUUCCGUUACUACCUUCAGGAGUGACGUGGAGACGCAGUAGUGACAGUGCCGCCAUCUGACGGAAUAGAUGGUUGAAGGGUGUAGGAGUCGAUCAUGGCAGGCAAAUCCACCAUGAGAUCCGAACCUGACAGUAUGCCGCGUCCUUCGGGACAAGGCAAUAGUGCGCGUAAGCAUGCUGCCGAGAAAAUCCGCUAAACUUAAUCCUGCAGGUACCCGUACCGCAAACGGACACACGUAGUCGGGAUGAAUAUUCUAAGGCGCUUGAGUGAUUCACGGUUAAGGAACUAGGCAAACUGACCCUGUAACUUCGGGAUAAAGGGUCCCUACCCUUUUAUGGGAGGGCGCAGAGAAUCGGUCCAGGCAACUGUUUAACAAAAACACAGGGCUGUGCCAAAUCGAAAGAUCCAGUAUACAGCCUGACACCUGCCCGGUGCUGGAAGGUUAAGAGGAGAUGUCAUCGAUAAGAGAAGCGUUGAAUUGAAGCCCCAGUAAACGGCGGCCGUAACUAUAACGGUCCUAAGGUAGCGAAAUUCCUUGUCGGGUAAGUUCCGACCUGCACGAAUGGUGUAAUGAUCUGGACGCUGUCUCAACCGUGAGCUCAGUGAAAUUGUAGUAUCGGUGAAGAUGCCGAUUACCCGCGAUGGGACGAAAAGACCCCGUGAACCUUUACUAUAGCUUAUCAUUGAAUCUGGGCACGUGAUGUGUAGGAUAGGUCGGAGGCUUUGAAGCAGGUACGCCAGUAUUUGUGGAGCCGCUGUUGAAAUACGACCCUUUAUUUGUUUGGAUUCUAACCCGUGGAACGGGGACAUUGAUUGGUGGGUAGUUUGACUGGGGUGGUCGCCUCCAAAAGCGUAACGGAGGCUUCUAAAGGUGCCCUCCGGCCGAUUGGUAACCGGCCUUAGAGUGUAAUGGCAUAAGGGCGCUUGACUGGGAGACUGACAAGUCGAUCAGGUAGGAAACUAGAGCAUAGUGAUCCGGUGUUUCCGUAUGGAAGGGACAUCGCUCAAAGGAUAAAAGGUACUCCGGGGAUAACAGGCUGAUCCCUCCCAAGAGCUCAUAUCGACGGAGGGGUUUGGCACCUCGAUGUCGGCUCGUCACAUCCUGGGGCUGGAGAAGGUCCCAAG